Non-coding RNA from Phasianus colchicus (ring-necked pheasant), 19105 nucleotides. NCBI's taxonomy places the organism in Eukaryota, Metazoa, Chordata, Aves, Galliformes, Phasianidae. The record is from RefSeq and is a predicted model, not a curated record.
CUCGCGGCGGGCGGGAGGGCGGCGCGCUGCUGCCGUGCCCGGAGCGGAGCGGGCGGCGCUUGAGCGGCUCCAGCGCGAGUGGGGGUCGCUUUUCACGCCUCGCGGGUCGGUCGCUCGGUCAGGGGAAAACCUCCCUGCAGUAACGACGAGCAGCCGGCGCUGCCGCUGGUCUCUUCCCGAAGACCUCCUGGCUUUGCGUCCAAGCAGCAGCGCGUGCUGGGGGCGCGCCGCGAGCUGGGGGCUCGUCUGGCCUUCGGUGCCGUGUGGCUGAAAGGGCGAAGCUGUGCGGGAUCGCACGGCGCAGCCGGGGCUUCUGCGAGGAGAGCCCUGAGUGGAAAAGACCCGCAUCCUCAGCGCUGGGUGAACUGCGCCUGGCUGCCUGGGAAUGGAUCUCGUGUCUUCGCUCGCUCCUGUCGGGUAGUUGGUGUAAGAAUUCAUAAAUUAAACCUCGGGGCCAACUCAGGUGGUUACCUGAAAUAUCCCUGAACCGAGGGAAGCGUUUCAGCCGUUACGGAAAUGACUCUUUAGCAGAGAGGCUGCAAAGAAACCACAGUAACAAUGUAAAACAGGUAGCGGGAAAGGAAAACAAGCAGAUGAGAAGUGCUGAGUAUUGAGUUGGAAUCAGGACUCUCAAAAGUCAGCGCUGUUGUCUUUCUGGAAAUGACCAGAUAAUGACAACAGACACGUCUGUGUGUGGGAAAAGCGUGUGAAUAGCAGCAUGGUAAUAGCUGCCGCUGCCACCACGCUGUGUCGAUCCUACCUGCAUCCAGUGCAGAUCUGCUCAGAGUGGUUUAUUUCCUCCAGCUCAGUGCUGCGUUCAGACAAGUCCCAAGCACAGAAUGUCUCCCAGCUGGCUCUGUCCUUGUACUCGUGUGUCACACUGCAGGGCAGAGCAGGAUUGUCUCUUGCCUGUGGUGACCAAACAUACCCAAAUUCAUGAACAGCAGAAACAAUUUCACAUAUUUUCUGAUGGAUAUGAAGAAAAUUACCCAUCCAUGUAAGAAUGACAACAUUCCUAUAUUCUGCUUAUCUAGCCAUAACUUAUUUUAAGAUACGUAUGUACAUAUUAGUAGACUGAACCAAUUUUUUGAAUAACCUCCUUGGGUUCCCCGUACAGCUUUUUAAGCUCAUCGUAAGGUAGUCCUGGGUUCGCUGUACUGAUCACAACCAGCAGAAACUUCAGAAAUAGUCUGCUUUGCUUAUAUCUCCUCCCGCAUUCACAAAGCGUUCUCCCUCUGCCGAGCUCUUAGAUCUCCAUAUCACAGAUCAAAUCUGCUCACCAUCAGUGAAAACCAGUGCACUGCAGACCGCCAGUGCAGCCCUCUGUAUGGAACCUGCAUGUGGGCAGGAAAUCACUGCAUUGUCUGCAUGACUGUUAAGAGAAACACCAAGGAAGUGAAUAUUCAUAUACUGCUAAAUGUUACUUCAAGUGGAUUCCCAAGGUAUUCAAGAGCUGUACAGAUUUUUAGAGACAUUUCAUUCAGCAGUUAGAAUGGAAAAAGAAAGGGUGGCUGAAGAGCUGUAGUCACAAGCUUCUCCCAAUGGCUGUUAGCACACAUCCCAGGCAGAACGUCAGUGGUUGCUCCGUUGUGUGCUGCCAGUCACCUCUAGAAACAAGCUGGCUGAGGGGCACUGCUCUGUCUCUGUCAUUCUUUGCUGCUCCCAUUCCUUCUGCAGUGGCACCAAACCUGCCUGGCAUCCAGCUCUGUGUACAGCCAUACGCACUGAGAAGAAAAUAGUUUGCUCUUCCAAUAUAGAAAGCUUCUGAGCAGCAGUGGAAGCAUUUUGGUGAGCACGGCGUGUCAGGUUUUGUGUUCUGUAACCUCUGUGAGAAAGCACAGCUUGCGGAGGCCUUUGGCUGAUAACUUAACCGCUUCCUCCCCACAGCUCCUGCUGUGUGCCUUUCAGUGCUGUUCUUAGUCCUGCUUUGCUUACUGCUGCACAGAAAGGGUCCAUGAAUUUAAGACAGAAAUGAGACUACAGUUGGGGAUUUUUAUAGGAACCCUUCAACCAACAAACACCCAGCUGCCAGACAGCAGUCAGCGGAGAUAACUGCAUGGAGAUAACUUUGUAAACACACACAUACAAGAAUAAAAAAGAAAGCAAGAACGGAGGAGGUAGUUUAUAAUUUCAGAUUCUUCACAGCAUUUUAACCUCAGCUAUCAGACUGAUGUGUGCCUGGGGCAGCCUGUGCUGUAAGCUGCAAGCCAGCCCUGGGCCUGUGGGCUUCAGCCCUGCUUGUUCUCCCUGCCGCCUAUGUGGGGAAAAGAGGCCAUGGAGCUUGGCGCACACUUGCUGCUCCAGCCUGGAGCUCAGCUUUCUGGUCGGAAGUCUGCUUUGACAGCCAGGCAACAGAUUUUUCGCAGUGCCUGCUGAGCUGGUUUGGGGAAGGAGUGGCACACAUAAGCACAUUUGUUUCUUGUGAUAGGACACCCUGCAACAGGGUCUCUGAGUAAACAGGGGCAUCCACGUACCGUCUCUCAAAACCCAAGGCAUGCUUAUGCAAUGCUCAGUCCAUCUGUUGUUGAGAUCAUCUUAAUGGCUGUGACGGCUCCCCUGCCUGCAGCCAGGCAGAAUGGAAGAGUCCCUCUGCAUAAAUUAUCGCAAAACAAACCCAGGCUUCAGUACUGUCAGCUGAGGAGGUCGUUAAAUUCCGCAGUGAAUCUGCUGUGCCACUGUCAAGGCUUGCCUGUAUUUGUGAGAUGUUUUUUGCUAAUGAGGAAAGUUUGUCUCCUGAGGAAUUUUUAAUUGAAACAGCAAAGCAUCAUCUGGUGGCUGCAGAGAGAAGCAGCUCCCAGUUCUGCUGAGUGACCUGACCUUCCAUCACCGGGCACAGCUCCUCCAUGGGCACCACGUGUAGCUCCAUUCUGGAGCUCCCUGCCUGCCUGCAGAUGGAGUUACGCUGCCUGCAGCCCUGUCUGCAGGCUCAGGGUUCAUCCAGCACCUCGUCCACCUGCUGAUUCCCACAGGAGAGCACUGGGGUCUGUCGGUACAGGCCCAAGUGCUGCGGGAAUUGCAGGGCCAAAGUGCUGGCGGGUCCCUCAGGCCCUGCUGGGCAGUCUGUGUGAAGCCAGGGCUCGCUUCACCCCAGCCCCAUGGGAAACCUCUACAAAGCACACGCUGCACAGCUUUCUGCAGCCCACUGGUCCAGGUUGCUCCAAGCCCUAAGGAGAUCUGAGAGCAGCACAAAGUGUCCCCACACCCACGCUGGAUGUGCGCCCAUUAACGUGGCAGGCCGUGGCUGCCCUGCCCCAGCUGGCUCCAGCUCCAUGGCACUGUGCCUUCAGGCUGCCCCACAGCUCCAGGCCAGCUGGGCACUGCUGCUGAUGCUUCCCCAGUGCCUGAGCAUCCCUGGCUGCAUUUGCUGUGGUGUGGGAGGGCACGUAUGCAAUGAGACAUUGCCUCCUGCUGCGGGGCCACCUCGGGGUGGCCUUUCAAGUCCUUCCUGUGGCCGAGGGCUUUUAUGUGUGUUUCAGCUUCAGUCAGUGUUUCAAACCACAUAGGCUACAUUCAUAUGUUUUAAAUAACAUGACUUGGUCAGGGGACCACACACAGAAGGAGGGCUGUGGGAUGAGACCAUUGCCAUUGGCCAAUGGAUAAUUGAAGGAAGCAGACCUUGCGCUUCCUCUCUCUUACUGUAGGAGAGCAGUUUAACUGGAGGGAACUGUGGUAAUGGGAAGCUCAAAUGGAGAUGUGCCUGUCCCAGUUACUGCUGUUAAACUGCAUCCUCAGGCUGUUUGAGAGUUCACUGCAGCAGGCUGUGUACAUUCCCAAAGUCGGUGUCUAUUCAGUUCAUUUGAGGCAAAGUUUGAAGGCAAAAUAUUGUCACUGAUAGUGGGAGAAGAGGGGAAUGCAGCUCAUGGAACCUUUCUGCUCUGAGUCGUGUUUCCCACAGCCUGCUCUCCUCUAAUAAGGAGCAGUGCUGACUGACACCUUUACAGCCACACCUUUGCAGUUCACUGCUAGAUCCCCAUGGGUUCCUGCAGCUCCGCCGUGGGAUUCGUGCUGUUGGGAACCUCAACUGUCAGAACCACCUCGUCCUGUGCCGUGUAAUGGGCACUGCAGUAUUCUCUGUCCUUUUCCUAAUCAUCUCUUGAUCACAGCUGCAUGGUCUGUGACCUCUCACGGUCCUGCCUGCCUGGCUUCCUAGCUCUGUUCAAUAUUUUAAUUAACAGUUUGGAUGGUAGAACAGAGAAAAGACUGUAUUGGGCUUGUGGAUAACACACAGCUUGAAGGGACUCCAGGAACAUUGGAGGAGAGGGCUGGGAUUUAACCUGAGUUGCAGUAGAGGAUGCUGGUAUGCAGUGAUGAGCACCAGGCAUGCUCUUCUUGAGCAACAAAAUGCAGCUGCAGCAGCAUAAGAUGCCAUGGGAAGUGGGCACAGGUGUGGGCACAGCUGGGUGUGGGUGCACAGCAUCAUGUUGGGAUGCCACGCGUCACAGAAGGCAGGCAGUGGUGGAGCCUGCCUACUCCUGGGGGAUCUGACAGGGCUGUGCUCACUUUUAGGGCUGCAAAUUGUACGUCUGGAAAAAGGGAGAGUGUUCAGAAGGUGGAAAGAGCGUGGUCUAAAAAGCAUGACUUCUAGGAGAAAGUGACCAAAAAUUGAACUCUUUUCUUUAAAAAAUAAAAUAAAAUGGGGAAAUAAAUGAGGGGAUGCAAGGAUCACAAUUACCUGCCUUGCACAUCUCCCCUGUGUGCAUCAUCGUGUUUGCUGUUAGCACCCGACACGUCUGAUUAGUUCCUAACUGAGAGCAAAAGGUUACUGAGGCUCAGAGAGAACACGGCUGCUGUGUGAUGCCCUGAAUGCUGAUGAGCAUUCGCACAGUUUGCAUUUGUGUUUUACUACUGCCUUUCAUGUGAAGCUUUGUUUUCCUGGCUGCUAAUUUAUUAGCAGGUAAAUUGCAGCUUGCAUAUUAAAAGACCUACCAAAUAUCACUUGGAGGCCAGAAGAGUCUCUAAUAGAAUUGUAAAGUCUCUCCUUUUUUUUCCUUCAGAAAAUCUGUCUUAUGAAGUCUUUCUAAUUAUUCUCUAAGAUGAACUCUCACAAUUGUAAUAUUGUAACAUCAGAAAAGUUGUAUUAAUUUACCUGCUGUUAAACUCUCUGUGACCCUGCUAUGGGGAUAGUGAGAUCUGAACUAUUGCUCUGAUGUCUGUCAUCUUAAACCAUGUUUUCCAGAGGGUGUGACAUGCUCUGCAGUCUUGCUAUCUCACACACUUUGGGCUGAGAAAAAUCAGUUUCAGCCUCUUUUCUACAGAACCAGACUGCUGUAUUCAAAGUGGUGGCAUGAAUGUGCUUUGACCUCUUUCUUUCCCUUAAGUCAUCAUAAUAAGUGCCCAACAGGAAAACUGUCAGUAUGUAAAAGCAGUGAUUUCUCAUCAUAAUGGUCCGUUGUUUCCAACUCAGUCAUUCCUGCAGUACAAAAUCAAAAUGGUCCCAGGGAAGUUGGAAUGGAGCACCGUGUGGCUGUGAGUGCAGUGACAGGAGCCCACCUUCCCCCUGUGGGUCCGUGUAACACGUGGAAGCAGGUGCAACACGUGCAGUGCUCCAUCGGUUCCAAUUCAGCUGUGCCUUUAGUGGAUAUGCUUAGUACUUUAUUUGGUCUGUGCUCAUUUGCUGAGAAAGUUGUUUUCACAUCUAGAAGCACUGCCAUGUACAAAUCACAAAUCCAGUGUAGAAGGGUGCGUGCAUUUCGAGAGAAAUUAUCACCUCUGAGAGAUCUGAAUGCUUGAGAGAUGUGAGGGAGGGAAUGUAACCAAGGGAUGAGCAGUGUGUGAUGAAAGGACUUGCUGCAGAAUCACAUCUGCGUUAACUUGGAGCCAACGUUCCUUUGUGCUUCAACAUCGCUGGUGAAAAAAUGCUAAUUUUCAGAGUAUGUGUAGACGAAGAAUUGCAAAGCUACGUUAGGAUCCAGGUGGUGCUGCCAGCUGUGUGCCUCCCUGUUUCUUAAAAAGAAAUUCUGUGGAGAGAUUACUUGUCUCCUGCACACGGAAUGACCAUUGGAAGAGAAUAAGAAAGGGGUAAUGGUUUCAGUGCCUCCUCCCCUUCAAGGUGAGAUGGAAGCAGAAAGGCACGUGGAGUUCUAAGGGAAAAAAAAACAACGAAAACCCCAAACCCACCUAAAUGUGAAUUAUUUCAGGUCUGCUGCACACGUUAUGAGUCUGAACACGUCUGCUACGAUGGGAUUCCCCUUCUCGACCAUUGUUUCUGCAGCUACACGAGGACUUUGUGCUCUCAGCUUGCAUUUUCUAUUAACAGCUCUGAGUUCCUGCUAUGUAAAUUCUGGCAUAGGCCACUCAAAACCACAAAGGAAGUGCUCAGACUCUGGGUAUUGCUCCCCAGUCUGUGUGCCGCUCACAGCCCGGCAGUCAGAGCUGCCGCAGAGCCCCACUGUGGCCCUGGGGGAAAAUUUGUGCCUUUUCCCAGCCGUGCUUACUGCGCAUCGUGGCAGCGCUGGAGGCUGUAGCUCAGCUCUGCAUGUGCUCUCCUCUCGCCUCUCCUCUCCCUCCUCUGCUAACUUCCGCAUCCAUCCCGACCCUGCUUGGUGCUGGAAGGUGCUGGAAGGUGCUGGCUUGCAGUGCAGUCUUUGCUUUGCAAGCGCUGUGCAGGGAGCAGCAGAAUGAGGAAACAGCCAUACGUACACACUGCAUUUCCCACGACUUGCCCUUCUUCCAAGCUGCAGUUCUGAGCCCUGGAAGUCACCCUGUUACAUGGUGAGCUGUGAGUGUGCUCCUGUGCUCCUGUGCUCCUGUGCUCCUGUGCUCCUGUGUUCCUGUGCUCCUGUGUUCCUGUGCUCCUGUGUUCCUGUGCUCCUGUGCUGCUCUGACUUUCCUCGUCUACAAAAAGAAGCAAUCUUAAAUAGCACCUAUACUUGCUGCUGCACCGACAUGCUAAGUUAUUUUGAAUAGAUGAAGCAAAUGAAUGAGAUGCAAACUUUGGUUUAUUUAUUACCACUCCAUUCCCAACCCACAGCUGCCAGUAGAGUCUCCAGAAGCACCGCUGGUCUGUGUGGAUUCUUCACACAUUUAGAAACAAACCUUCAGCAUGUUCUGGUUCACAUGUUGUGAUGAAUGCUCUGUUUAAGGAAGUGUCUGUCAAUACUUAACAAGUUCUACAACACCUUGUUUUCCGGAGGGUGAGGGGAGAUGCCUUCUGGGUUAGGUACCGUUGGACACAGUCUGUAAAAUCAAUCGCGGGGAAUCUGGAAUUCACAUGGGCCCCAGGUACCUGGCAUUGAGCUGGGAAGGUAUUUUGAAGUGAAGCUGGGGAAGUUGUGCAAUGCCACAGGGAACAGAGUCUGGAAAAAAUGGCAGAUUUAAAUGUUCUCCCUGUUUUGCCAAUUUAAUAAUUUGUUUGUUCUAUAUCCGUGUGUACGUGGCUGUUAGAAGCAGGCUUCUUUCAUCAAGCACAGCUCACACGAUGCACUGCAGCCGUUGCAGUGAGGCUGGGUUGGUCUGGCCCUGGGGCUGUCAGCAGCAACACCUCAGUGGGGUCAGCAUCCUCCCUGCUGCCCUUUGCUCCAGGGGACCUCGAGUGCAUGAUGGCAAUUUGUCCUCUGCUGCAAAACACUGAAGCCAGAAAAUCAAGCCCUGUAAGUUUGGAAUUAUGCAACAUGACAGAUCAUCAAACCCAUUUUGUUAUGGCUGAGCUACCCACCCUUUUGGAGCACCGGAUUUGAUUUACUGUUGACACAGUCAUUCACAUGAAUUCAAGUCUGCGAGGCUUUAUUUUAGAGGAUAUAAAAAUCCCACCCAUCACUCACGUGUGCUCACUGCUUCUGCAGUUUGGCUCAUAGCAAGCUGUACCUGUUGCUUUGUGAAAGCCUUGAGCAGCACACAUGCAAUGCCAUGCCCAUGUUCUGGCCUCGGGGCAGCUACAGAGCCAAGCCCCCAUGUUAGCAGCAGCAUGCAGGGCACGCUGCCUGGGAGGGAAGUGUUGUUUGCUCAGUUGUGAGUUGUUUGUGGGCAGAACAGUUUGGGGAAGUGCGUUCUAGGAAAGCACCACUUUUCCCAAAUGUUCCCUUUCCUUGACCAGUAACCCCAAAGCUUGCACGCUGCGGGGCAGCAUGAGGCUGUCUGUUGCUAUUUCUGUGACCCAGUUUUCUUCCCUGGGUAUUUGGUGAGCUGAGCUGGCCUGGAUGUGCAGUGACAGCUGGGGGAAUAGGGAGCAACACAUCUUUCCUCGGGUAGAAAAUGUAACUUAAAUUCCAACCUGAGCCACACGUAUGUAAAAAGUCAGUUGUGGAUCAGUGGUAUUUAAUGUUGUGUAGGUUAGAGCACAAGUCUUGAAUGGUUGAUGCUGAGUCUCAGUAACACUGUAAAAAAUAUUUGCAGCUGAAUGGCUGCAACGCUUUGCCUGCCUUCUCUGGCCUGCCUCAAGAGUGCUUAUGAAACUAAUGACAUUGCUGCUUUGCUCAGGAAAUACUGCUCCCUCUGUUCUGGCCCAGGUCUUGCCCAUGCAGCAUAUUCUCUAUUAGGCUGCAGCAGGCUCUGAUGCCGGUGUCAGCUCAAUUUCCUCCUCUUAAGUGCAUGCCAAGAGCUGGAUGCCAAAAGCUGGCAGGGAAACAGCUCAGAAGAACCCAGGAACGAAAGAGGACACGGGAAGGAUGCCAGAGCCUAAAGAAGUGAGAUAGAGGAACUGCUGGGAUGGUGAUUGAGAAGGAACUGCCACUCCCAGCACUGCUUCCCUUUGCCUGGUAGAAGAGAAAGGAACCGUUAAUGCUGGAUACACUUUUGUCCUUUUUCUACAAGUAUUUCUGGGCUAUCUGCUUGUCUGUCUGGGGAAAAGAGAAAACUAAACCCCAGACAAAUCCUCUGCCAAAAUGCCCUGUUCCGCACUCACAUUUAAGCGAUCAGAGAAUGAGCAGAUGAGCAGAUGGGAAGUGAGAGGGCUGCUGGUGCUGCGUGACGGCUGCAGGAGGGCCGUGGGGCUUGUGGCAGUGAGGUGCUGUGCAAACCUGCAGAGGUCAGGCCACGCUGCCUGCAGACACGAGGCCUCCAACGUGCUUGUAAAGGAGGAGCGGGGGGCCGAGAAGGGCCUUCAGCCCGUGAUGUGCGCAGAGCUGUGGGAGCAGUCAGUGCAGCUGCAGUGCUUUGUGUCUGUCACAACUGAAAUGCUCAUCACUUCCCUGAGCUGGUGCCUCCUCUAAACUGCUGUCAGUUGUUGCACUGCAUUGCACCCAUGGGCAUCGCUUUUCUGGGGCACACUUCAACUGUUUCCUGACGCUGCUCCCCUGCCUCCUGGAGCAGCUGAGGUUUGCUGACAUCCCAGGAGCUCAGCCAGCCAUUCCCUGUGCCCCCAGGAGGGCACGGUGUGGGCAUGCCUGCCUGGGGCUCCUGGAGAGCCUUCCUCUGCUGGGAAUGCAGUGAGGGUUUGCAGCUCAGGGCUGGUUCCUUGCUAUAAAUAUAAGCUGAUAAGGAAUUCAUGGUAGCAAAGCUGUAUAAACCAGGAAAAAGCUGAAGAGUUCCCAAAUAUACAGUCAGCAGUGCAGAAAACCUGUGUGGAUGAUUUACCUAAUUAACAAAUAGGCUUUACAUACCCCACGGUGUCUAUUUCCCUUUCAAAUGAAUUUAUGAACAACCCACUAUAAUUAAUACUGGUGAUUUAACUUAGGAAACUGAUACGAAUGAAUUGCUCUAACAAUUUCUAGGUAAGCUUAAUUAUCUUAUCUGAGGAAAGUCACAUUUUUCUAGAGCAGUGCGGAAGGUCACUUUUAAAAUAGAUGUGUGCACAGCUCAGGAAAGCAGCUGGAUGGGCAGCAUCCCGAGCAGGACACAGCCAGCCCACACUGCAGCCAGAGAUCCUCUCUUCCCUGGGCGAGGAGUUGCUGCACUGAAAGGGAUGGCUGCACUUUUUUUUUUUCCAUUUUCUCGGAAUAAAUCUGCUUGAGGUUUUAAACAUUUGGUAUCUAACCUCUUUUUCAAGCACUCCUUUGAGAAAGUAGUGCCCAACUUGCAUUUAAGAAAGCAUCACUUUUUAGUUCUGUUUGAGAGAUUGAAAUAUAUCCAAUAAAUAAUAUUGUCCCACUCUGUACAUCUACCAGUAUAAUUGGUGAGAUUGAAAGUAACGUUCCAUUGACUUUUUUGGUAUGUGUCAAGGCAGCCUGAAGCAGAGGGAGGUGGGGAAUGAGAGCUGCCUGCAGUUGCAGAGCUACUUGGAGUGCUAUUGCUCUUAGGGGAGAGCAAGGAUGGAAAAACGAACACCGUGAGUGCAGGUAAACGGCACCCAGUGACAAGAAUGAGAUCUGGGCACUGAACGUGCCAUAAAGCAACUGAGGCCAUGAGCAUUGGAGAAUCACCAGAUAGCCCAUGAAACACAUGAAUUUUCUGUUAAGAAAAAUGAAAAUGCCAAUAACACCCAACAGCCCGGGGUACUGCGUGACGUUGACAUUUGAGCCCUUCCUCUAGGAUUACAUUUUUCAGGAUUUUCCCCGUGGCUUUGGAAGGCUCAUUUGUGGCCGCCGCUGCCCGGCCCGGCGGUGAGCCUGCUGUUGGCUGUGGCACCGCGUCCUGCAGGGCAGCCUGGCCUUGCCUGGCAGCUGGGGGCUGAGGAGGAGCCAAGUGCCCCACACCGGUGGCAGUGCACAGAGCUGCCGGCGCUUGGCCCACUCGGCUGCGGCUCUGCACUGAGCUGAGUGCGGCUCCACGUCCCGUCGCCUCGUCUCCUCUCUCACCUUGUCCCCUCUGUUCUGAUUUCCUUCUGUCAGGACAGGAUCUUCAGGCACCGCUCUUUCUCAAUGCCUCUUUGGAAUAUUUUAAAUAGAAAGAGAGAGCUCUUCUCUUUUCACGCCAGCCUUCAAAGUGAUUUUAAUUUAAAAUCUCCCCCAAAAUAUUGUCUCUCAGACAAGAAAAGCUGGCCUGGAAUCGCUGUGGCACGUAGGCUGUGUUGUCAUUGCGGGGCUGUGGCAGCUGCCAGUUGGAUCGGAAGCAUCGUGCGGCACUGCUGUGGUGAGCACACGGCCGGCACUGCUGGGGAUGCCCGUACUGCUCGUGUGUUUUACUCCUCAGGGAGCUGUUGUGUCCGUGUACAUCCCCAACUGCAGUGCUCUGGGACACCGCCCUGCCACGUGAGCUCGUGUCUGCUGAUGUUGUCACAGUGAGAGCCCACUUGGUGUCCCGCUGCAACGCCGUGAGAUUGCAGUGCAGGAAGGUACAGCUCGCUCCUAGACUACAUGCAGGUAGUCAAGGUCACUGCUGUAUUUUACAACAGUGACAUUAAUUUAAAAAUCCAUCUGGCUACCUGUGAAGUUGAGGUAGAAAACAAGUGAGCUAUACCUCUGCUUUGCCUUUGGUGCUGGCUGACUCAGGCUUCGUUCACAAAGCCUCUCUCUCCCUUUCAGAGAGCUCAGCACCGGGGGUUCUCGCUGCACGUCUGGACAGCCUGCAGUAGAAGAACUUUUCUGUGGGCUGCAGCGCUGGGCAGGCAGCCCUGGACUGCUACUGUGAGCAUCGUUCUGCUUGCUUUAGGAAGGUGGUCCUUUUCCUUCAGGAUAACCACAAAUGUUAAAAAUGCACAGACAUUUUUUCUUUUUUUCCCACUGUUGUUAAACCAUUAGCUUUUCUCAUGCUGUGUAUGUUUUUUGUUUGUUUGUUUUAAGAUAGAAUAUCUUUUGUCCUCUUCUUCUUUUCCUCCUUUGGACAUUCAUAUCAACAUACAUUUAUGUGUCUAUGAAUUUCUACACAUUUAGAUAAUAGCUAAUGGAUAUGCCACUGUGACUUUCUUACUGAUUAGGAGGACAUGAGAAAUGAGUGCCAGCACAACUCAGUGCAGCUUUUUCUCUGUAAAGCAGCUGUGGGUAAGCUUAGGACAUGCUGGGCUUUGCUGACCUGCUGUGAAGGAGGUCUUCAUAAAAGCCACAUGGAAUGGCAUCACAGGAACCGAUCAGUCCUGGAGCUGACACAUCCCUCCUGGGGAUGGCGGCACAGCUCCCUGCAGGUGCUGCAAGGAGAGGACUUGGUGACAAACAGAAGUUUGGUUCUCUCCCCACCUUCGUGUUUCACAGAACUGCAAAAGAAGCACAGUCAGCACACACACGCCGAGCUUAAAAAAAGGGAAACAAGAAACCAAACAUUGGGGUGUAACUGAAGAACAGCAGGGCUGCUAUUUUUGUCUUUGAGCCUUCCUGACACGGACCCACUCAGCUGCUGCAUCCCCAACAAAUGCAGCAUUUCCUCUUCACCGCAUUCAGCUCCCAAGCCAGAAGAACCUGCUCAGAUAGAAUUGUUCUCAUGCUAUUGCUAAAUUCCCUGUCUCAGCUCUCAGGGCUGCGAGAGCUUCUUCAGCUGCUCAGUACUGUGGGAUGCUUGGCCUCAUGAUGAAGCUCUGCCACCCGGCUGGGCAGUGUCCCACUGCACUGAGUGCCCAGUAUUGUGGUGCAGCAGGAGCCUGGGAGCGGGGAGACAGAAGUGGUAGAAAUCAGGUUAGAGCACAGUGUUGUUGGGAACAGAGGGAAGCAAAUGGCUCUACAAACCGGCCCCAAAGCUUUGCUUUUAAAGAUUGCUGCUUGUGCUGCACUUCUGGCAUUGCUCUGCGCGCUGCAGCCACAACCUGGAGAGGCAGCAGCUGGGGCUUGGACAGAUACGCCCCGAGCUAAUUACUGUGGUGGUUUAAUUACUGCUCCCGUUCCUCCCCAACUGCCUGCUACCACUGCCCUGCCAGGAGCAACUGCCCGCUGCAGGGACACCAGCAGUGCCUCUUGUAGCUUCUCCACGUGGGAGAGGGCCCACACGUCCUCAGCCACAUGCAGCACUUCAGCUCUGAGCGUGCAUUCGCCUCUCAGCACCCUGCUCCAAACAGGGCUGACACCGACCCACGGCUACCGGAGACACGUCUGUAUUGCCCAGCGUGCAGCAGGGCAGCGAUCUCACACUCAGAAGCAUUGCUUCUUCAUUUCCCACAGAUUGAACUCACACACCAAGCUAUCGGCACAGGAUUUACACACAGAAGUUACCAAGCUGAUAACGUUCCUGCCUGUUCUCCUCACGGUGACUGGUCAGUGAUUGCGGUGCAAUUACACACGGCUGACUCUGUACUUCCACUAGUGCACAUGGCUGGGGAAGGGGCGGCACCCAGGCAGGGGUCUUUUUGACCCGUGACUGUGAUUGUAGUGUUCUGAUGAAGGCAGUUCAGCUGAGGACACACAGACCGUGGGUUUUCUCGCCAAGCUGACGAUGUCCCCGAAGUCUCCUUGUUAAUGUUCCCUUCAAGGCCAGCCAGCUCUGGGAAGGCCCUGGUUAAGGAUACCAAGUAUUCAUUCUUCUCGUACCUGACAUACUGCUAGAUCAGUUUGCUUAGGAUUUGCCUUCAGCAGUGGAAGCGGCCUGCUGGCACAUCUUGAACUCUGACUGCAGCAGUACUGCUCAGCACACACCUCUGCCCUCAGCUCACACCUUCCAGCCCCGCUCCGCAGCUGCCGGCUCAGAUGGAGCAGGGUGGGAUGGAGGCGCCCUCCCAGACUCCCACAGACCUGACUGGGGAUGAUCAGUCAGCAGCUGCCUUUGACCAGGAGGCGCAGUUUGCGCUGUCCGGCCUCUGCUGUUAAUCACGUUUCCUUUGUGCCGCUGGUGGCAGCUGGUGGCGUCUAUGGGCACGAUAAUGCUGACGCUUCUCUUUUCAUCUCUUCCUUCACCGCACUUCUCUUUCUUGUGCUCGCCUCUCUUCGAGUGCUUUUUAUUGUGCUAAGCAGCACGAAAACUGUAACAGGAAUCGAGUCUCCUCUGUCAGGUGAAAUCUAUCUCAAACAGAUAAGCGAGGUCCUCUGUGGUCAGCCUUUCUCUGAGGGGAAGGAAAAACAAAGGCAGAAGCCCUGACCGUUUUCCUUCCCCUCCUUUUGCACACUUGGAGAGCGGCAUGGCUGAGCCGUGAAAGAGGAAAGGUUUCCUCCUCAGCCGUGCUCUGCUGAGAAGGGGCGCUUCAGAAAACCCCAAACUUUCCACUCUCCUUUCAGGAAAUGACACCGUCGUGCUGGAAUUUACAAUGAAGCUGUGAAUGUAGCUGGAGCCCUGGGCUUCACCAGGAGAAGGCCCCCUCAGCUGGCUUUAUUCAGCUCUAUUGAGAGCUGAAUUCGCCGUGAAAGGCGUGUUUUCCAUUUGGCCCCUUUCCUCCAUCAAUUGCUGUCAGUGUAACAGAAGGCCCCGCGCAGCUCCCCCGCCCCGUGUGCCUCUCCGGGCUGUGCUGUGCGAGGCCGCCCGGCCCCGACACGCAGCGCUGAGCCCCACACAAUGCCGCUUUGUUGGGGCCACACAGCAGAGCUGCAGUUUCCCAGGCUUUUCCUUUCCCCCCUCCCGCCGCGGCGACGCGGGGCUGCGUGAGCGGGCGCUGAACAAAGGCGUGAGAGCUCAGACGUCCGCGCUGCCCGCGGUGGUGACCGGGCUGCGGUGAGGGUGGGAAGCGGUCCAAACCGCGGCGGCCCGCGGGCCGUGUGCUGCUGGCUGACACCGGGCGUCCUGCGAGGGAAAUGGACCGUGGUGCGCGGCCGUGGAUUCCGGCACGGAGCGGGAACGUGUCGGCACGCAGCGACCGCCGCGCCCUGUCCACGCUGGGCAGCGUCACAGCUGGGCAGGAGGGCAGGACAGCCCGCACCGUGCACCUCUGAGCCUGCUGGCUGCAGUUGGUCCGUGGCAGCUGCAGGCUGUGGUUGCACGUUAUGGAUCCCAAAGUGCCUAUGGACACGGUGACUAACUGUGCGCUGCAGAGGGAGAAACGGCGAUCACGUGUGCUAUAUUAACUGCAGACAAUAAAUAGCAGCGACCCCGAUGUCAGAAAGCGAGUCAGUGCCCAGCAGCCACUGUCACAUUGGAGUGGUUCCUUGGCUUCAGCUGGACUCGGUGCAAAACGUUUGUGAAAGCUCUGCUUUGUGGGUUGAGCCCAGAAACUGCUGUCGUGUGCUUCCCUGUGCCCUGCUCCCUGAGCCACAUCAUCCAGAAAGAAAGCGUCAGAAAAAUCUGGUUCUUAUUUGUAGGAUGGAGAGUUGCAAGCAGUCCUGAUCCGCACGGUGCACAGCCACUGCUGGGGUAAAUUGAUGAAGGAGCAGCUGCAUCUCGGAUGUGAUCAAAAUGGGCUCAAUCCUACAAAUGAAAAUUGCAAUCAUAUAACCUGCAGAGUGGAGCUGAAAACAGCUCUUUGUAUGGCAGACUUAAUGUCUGCAGGAUCUGGCCUUGUGUCUGCACUCAUUGAUACUGCUAAAUGUGAUUGAUUGUUCAUAAACACCAAUUCAGGGAUGAUAAAAAGACAUUGUUAAAAGAGCAGCGAGCUCCUCCUCUCAUGCAAGUUCUUUUUUUGGUCUGUUGCUACAGCAACUCUGUGCUAAGAACAAAGAUGACAGCAAGUAUUAAAUUUUACAGCAACUCAAUUGACUCUUGAUUUGUCUUCUUUUUUGCCUUCAGUAACUGAAUCCUACUCCACUAAUUGUGUUAGAUUGCAGAUAGAAAUCAUGCCUUCCUGUGGCAGGGAUUCCUGUGUUGCUUUUUCUUCCUUCCCCUUAGAAAUCAAUUACAUUGAAUUAAUUCAUUUAAAUCCAGUGGGUGAUUAUAACUGCUAGAUUAUUUGGAUUUCUUUCUUUGAUGUGUGGACAUCUUGUAUUUUAAGCCACAGCUCAUGUUCUUUUCCAAAACCCCCAAAGCCUUAAUAUUCUUUAUUAAGAAACAAGCAGUUCUUGGCAAAUUCAUUUUUGUCAAAGUUCAACUCAUGCCAAUGGCAAAGAUCAAAAACGUACGUUCAAAAUUACUGUAGCGGAGCUCAUCUGAAUUCACGAAUGCUAAGAGUUUUUAAAGGAACACCGCUUUCCAGCUCCAUUUUUCCCACUCUACACUCUCAGUUUCUCUUAGGACAUGAGAAGGCCAUUCACACCGUGUCUCUGGGCUCACUUCUACAUGUGCAAAAUCACCGCAUUACGGUAGAAUGCAAUGUGACCAAUGACCCACACAGCCUCGGGUGGAGCUGCCAUCCCAGGCCUCAGCUGUCCAAGGUCGAGAGCUUCUGCUUGGAGACAGUGGAAGGUGACAUCUUGGAGCAAACGUUCUGCUGCUCUGCGCCUGCCUCUUGGCCACGCACACAAAAGGCAGCUCUCUGCAGGACUCACCCUGUGCUCAUUGCUGUGCCAAGGGACGCAGGGCGGGAGGAGGUCUGAGAGGUUUGCCUGAGGUGACACAGACCUUGUGCUGCUACCAAACCUAGUGGAUUCCUGGGCAUAGGAAGUCUGAAGCGAAUGAUGGCAGCCUUCUGUCAGCAAAGCAUGGGUCAAAUUCCAUCAAAACAACACAUUCGAUUCAAUCCGAUUCCAUCGGUCCAUACCGAGGCCUUGCGGCCCGGGCAGCCAGGCUGGCAUGGGGCAGAUCUGUACCACGUGUUGGCAGAGGCUGACCCUGUGGGCAGGGGGAGGGCAGGUGGUGGGGCUGGAGCCUCUCCUGGGAGUGUGGCAGUGGGAUGCUCUGUGGAGAGGAGAAAAUGAGGAACUGCAGAUAAACAACAACGACAUGAGGAGAAAUGGGUUGGCUUGAGCAGAUUAAAUAUAACGUACUUAUUUAACUCCUGAUCAGCUGGAAAAUAACAGUAUGGCUCUGGUAGUCUCAGCUUCAGCAGCCGUGCACAGGGAUGGCUAGCCCAGGCACAAGUUUGUGCUUUCAGUAUGAGAUAAGAUCUAAGGAAGUAGAGCAAUGGAACAAACUAGAAACAAAGUCUUGUGUCUUUCCCUGAAAGCUGUUGUGCAAAAGCACUUGCUUUAGGGUUAAACAGCAUGGGCAAAAGCACCCCAACCUGCCCUAGGGCAGGACUUCAAUAGCCAAGCAAGUUUCAGAUGCACACUGAUCUUAGAUGUUGAUAGGCCCUUCCUAAAGAGCUGGGACAACUGGGUCUUUUGCUGGGACAACUCUGAGUAUUGCGCUCUGGGAGGGAGGAUGUAGGUUGCUUUGGAUGCUGCGUGCCACAGGAGCAGACCCUCAGCCACCUUCCUCUGCGCUGCGCUGCACCCCUUCCCUGGGGAGUCAGCAACACAUCACCCACAGAAUCUGCAGAGCGCAGCGGGGAAAUGAAAGUACAGCUCUGACUGCACGGUCUCUGUAAUCUCCCUGAGGAAAUGAGAGGUAACAGAUCUUUAUCAGGAAACUGUUAGCAAAAGACCUUUCACAACUGCUUAAGCAAUGUGCACGGCAACUUUAGCCUUGUAUAGCCAAAGUCUUGGUAGACCCAAAUGCCUUUUACAGGAGAGUGACAGCAACAGGAAAGAAGUGCCAUUGGCAGCUUGUUUAUCAUGAUCCCUCAUGCUUUUAGGCACAAGUAAAUAUUCUCCAUUUCUCGGUGAUUUGCAUUACUGGCCAGUGUAACACUAAAUUUUGCUGUUACUACAAAGGCUUAACAACGGUAACAGCAAAAAAGACAUGGUCAGAAGGGCUUCUACUUAAAGAGCUGUGUUUUGCUUCUCUGAAUGGGACGCUUGUUUCCAGUGGACAUUAGGGAGGUACCAUGCUAAUAACCUGGAGAACAGACGGUGCUAGCUCUCACCACAGUUUGCUGGAGGAAGUCUUGCUUGGUGCUGCCCAAACUCACUGCUCCAGAAGAGUCCCAGCACAGCCAGCGGGCACACGGAGCGCUCUGCAGGCACAGCUCUGCAGUCAGCACUGCGCUCUGCUGAGCAGCGCUCCUGGGACGGCCUGCAGAUCUGUGCUGGGGAAACUGCUGUGUCAGAAAGGCCACAGAUAGAAGUGAUAGCAGCUGGCUGGUUCUUUUCUUCCUUUCCUCUUUUGUCUGAGCAUCUCAAACGGCUGAACAACGUUUAAAGCAUCGCAGCUUUCUCGAGUUUUCAGACGGGGAACAUAAGGCACAGGGAAAUCAGGGCUGCUCUGCUUUGUUCUUUUGUGUGCGGUAAUUUUGGGUGCAGAGAAAGGAUACGUCCCUACAGCUACGUCAGUGCCAAGCCACCAUGGCACCCCACUACACAGAUAAAAAGGGCACAGAGAGAGGACCGGUUCUCCUGUUAACACAACAAAAUAACAGAACUUUGCUGGCAGAAAAAAAGUGCACAAGAUUGACAAAAACAAAACGCAGUGCAAGCAGCUCCCAUAUGAUGCAGCUCCAGUUCAUUUUACUCUGGGAAAUGUAUCUGCGGAAGUGUUCCUCCCGCAGUGCUGCCUCAGGGAUGCCUGCACAGCAGAAGAGCACCAGGUGGGUCCCAACUCUGCGGUUCAGGGAGGACCCGGCGCUGCUGUUCCCUGCAGGAGGUGACGGCGGUGCUGAGCCGUCCACGUGUCCAUGAGCACUGCCAUGCAGAGCCCAACCAACACCUCAGCACCGCUGUCAGCCGGGCCCCCCAGGCACACGGGCACCGUGCUGUGCAGCCAGGGGCUGACAGCCAGCGGGCUCUGCAGAACACGCUGUGCGUGGUGCACAGCACGAAGCGCUGCCAGUCCGACACUGGGAACAAAGAGUGCAGGACAGCUUCUACCUCAAGAAUUUUCCUUAAUUUAGGAAUUGCUUUAAGCAAACAUUACCUCUGCUUCCUGAGCACACACAAGGCAAUUGCCCUGGAAGUAAUCUGCAUUAGCCGUACUGGAGUGACCACGUUGCCAUAGUUACUGCUGGGUUCUGUAUCCCUCAAGCCUGAAGUAUUUAUUACAAUAAAAUCCAUCCCAUGCCAUUCUUCAUGCAAAAAUCCUGUGCUGAAGGUGUCACAAAGUGAAUUAUAAUCAGAUUCUUCCUCUUAGAAAGCUGCUUUAAGUACAAAUCCCACAAGAAGUCUUAGACUUUGUUAUGUAGCAAAUGUCAUUAAUUUCUGACUGGAUGAUUUUUCCUCAGAUAUUACUGCUUUAUUUUUAGUGAUAUUUUUAAUAGCAGAAGACCCUGACCAUUAUAUAAUUUCAUGUUUGCCUUUUUGUUUUUUUUUUUCUUUCACCUUUGUACUGUGGAUUGUUUUGGUAAAAGUUGUUUUACAUCCUUACAUCCUCAGCUACAAGAUGCCAAUCUCGGAGCCCACCCCAUGGACCAGACGAGGUGAGAAAGCUGGAGCUGUCCCUGGGACACAGCUCAGCACUGGAGCUGCUGCGGGCUGCAGGAACCUGGCAGUGCUGCAGGGAAAGGAACUCACCCUGCACUGAAUAUUUAAAAAUGUUCUGUGGG